GAGUUAGUCAGACUAAUGUGUUUUCAUUCUCUUUAAAUAGGUAUAUUUCUUGCAUGAAUUUUGUAGUUUAAGCAAGAGCCUUCAGGUGGUGCAGCAGUUGCGACUUUUUAGGGACCUUAUUACUGAAGGAAUUUUUCAAGUCAUAGAAGAAGCCUUGCGGAUUCCCGACAAAAAACUUGUGUUGACUGGGACAGAUAUCCUGAUUCUUUUCUUGAAUCAAGACCCCAACCUUUUACGUUCUUAUGUUGUUCGGACAGAAGGAAACCCCCUCCUCGGUCUCCUGGUCAAGGGAAUGAUGGAAGACUUUGGUGAUAGGAUGCAUUGCCAAUUUCUAGAAAUUAUCCGAACCUUACUGGAUGCAAAUGCAUUGUCUGGCGGAGCUCAGGUGCAUAUUUAUUUCCUUUCA
Camelina sativa (false flax) is the source of this 406-nucleotide non-coding RNA. Lineage: Eukaryota; Viridiplantae; Streptophyta; Magnoliopsida; Brassicales; Brassicaceae. The record is from RefSeq and is a predicted model, not a curated record.